Orcinus orca (killer whale) is the source of this 8424-nucleotide long non-coding RNA. RefSeq lists it as uncharacterized. Lineage: Eukaryota; Metazoa; Chordata; Mammalia; Artiodactyla; Delphinidae. The transcript is spliced from 6 exons. The record is from RefSeq and is a predicted model, not a curated record.
GCUUCCGGAACGGGCUCGCGGAGUGCGAGUCUAUGGCGUCGGCGACGGCUUGGGUAGUUCCGUGGAGAGCGUGGGGAGUGGCGUGGGCCCCUGCGCGGCGUGGGCGGGGCGUGCUCCCCGCCGCGCUCCUCACCCGAAUUCCCUAGCUGGGUCAACUCUGCUGGACCGGUCCGGACGACAGGCUCUGAUAGGCUUCGUCUUGGGCGGUGACCUCUUGACUGCCCGUCCCUUUAGACAGGAAGUGAGCAAAUGCUGUUGGAAAAAUGGUGCCAGUAGACUUGCCCAACACAUGGGUGCCACAAAUCUUCAAUUUGUAGAAGUGCGGUAUCUGCGAAGCACAGUAAAGUGAAGUGCAAUAAAAUGAGUGUGCCUGAUGUUCUUAUAAGAAAAGGAAGUUUGGACCCAGGUGCAGAGGGAAGGUGGUAUGAAGAUACAGUGAGAAGACAGCCAUCUGAAGUUAAAGAGAGCAGUCUCACAAGAACCCUUCCCUGCUGACAUCUUGAUCGCAGAAUUCCGGCCUCCAGAAUUAUGACAUGAUUGUGUGUAGAAGUUCCUAAGGAAUCUCCAGAACUUACGUUAGAGCUAAUGAGUGAAUUAAGAAGGCCACAGGAUGCAAGAUCCUGAAGGAAAGCACGUCUUUCUCACGGGUUCUUUUUGAGGAUUAACGGAUAAUGUGUACGGGGCCUGGCACAUCGCAGUUCGGGGCAGAAUGAGAGCACGUGUGCAUUCCGUGCACUGGAGUUUAAAUCUCGACUCUUGCUAAGACACAAAGUGACUGUAAGUUGUGUGUUUAUCAAUUGUCUACUUGGUCCAUGGAAGCAGGGAAAAGUCAUUUUCUGUGCAGAAUUGGAAAAUUGUAUUUUGUUUACUUACACUGAAUACAGAGAAAGUUCUACCCUCCCUUUAAAUUAGAGAUUUAUUGAACCUACUGCUUAGCAGCUGCUUCAGAAUAUUUUGACAUUAGAUGUAGGCUCUUAGAAAAAGCACGUAUUUAUGAAAAAAUAAAACUUUGUGAAAUGAUCUUUCUCGGCAGGAGGCCAGCUAGCAAUGGACACGUGCUGGGUCAACUAUUGUAAAUGGAGUUCUAAUUUAUUAACUUACAGUGCACACUGCUUUUGGAGUUCUAUCCCAAUGAGUGGUCGUCUUCACAGUGCCCUGCAGUGCCUACUGCACAGACCACAAGAUUUCUCCCUGCAGACUUGCGUAUUCAGUGUGUGUGGGGGGGGUGUGGGAAUUCUUCAGAUUGCGGGCUAGAGCUUCUGUUUAGAUGCUUGUCUGAGCUGAGAACUCUUCUGGCACUUAGCCAUGAUGAUUAACACCAUGGCCUUCAAAUUGGCCGGCCAUGGAUUCAAGCCAGCUCUCGUUCACUAACCAUGUGAACUCGGGAAGGUAGCCUUGUGUCCACUCAUUUUUAAAAUGGAGAUACUCUUACCACAACCAUUGUGAGUGACAAGGCUCCGAAAGUAGAUUUGUCACAGAAUAAGUGCUAGGUAUCUACUUUUUAUAUAUAUAUAAAAUUGUAAUUAUUUCUAUUACGGUUAUGACCAACUAUAUGCCAUCUUGAGUAUCUACUGUGGGAUUCUAAAGCAGAGCUCCUUGAAUGAGAAUGACUUACAGAAAAAUAGCAAAGCCAGUAUUCCUUUCUUAAGCGAUAUCUGGAUUCAGUCACUUUUGAAAUGUCAUCGUCACCUUAAUUAUCUUAAGAACAUACUCUUUCUUUUUUGUUUAUGCAUCAUUUUUAUCAGAGAACUUCGUGUAGGGAGAAGAUUUGUUUCUUCCUGUGUAGCAGGCAGAAGUCAGUCUGUGACCCCUGCUAAGCACGGAGCCUUCAGGGGGCAGCUGAAUAGAGCUUUCUUGCAGCCUUGCUCUGGUUUUUGUCCACGUGUCCACGGCCCUAAACUUUACCAGUUCCAGCGCGUGUGUAAACCACAGAAUAAUGGAUAUGAAAUUGGAAAGCUCGCACCCUGAAACUCCGUUGCCAGGGAAUGCAUAGCAGUGUUUAUAGGAAGUAAAUGGUGCUGCCAACACAGUAUCCACUUUCAGCUCUGAUGUCAAGCAGGAAGCAGCUCUUCCUGCCAGAGGGGCCCAAGCGUCUAGCUCCGCUCUCCUGUCUGCCUUCAGCGGGGCGGGUGUACGCUGUGUGCACGUUUCCCUGCAUCUUUCUGGGGACUCCAGGCGGGUAUGUCCCAGAAUGUCCCUCCUCCUCAGAGAUGCAUUCUCCUAGAUCGGAUCAUCGUUGGUAACCCUUCCCUUUCCUUUGGUUCCCGGCUUCUUUUCAAUGGGUCCAGACUGGCCUAUUUCUCUUACGGACUUUGAACUGAGGGGGAUCCGUCAGGCGCAGUCUCAGCGGCUGACCACUUGUCCUGGUGUGCCGGGCUACACCACUUGUUCCCAUAAUUAAUACGACUGCUCCCUUUCACUUGCAAAGUGACCCGGUUUAGAAAUAAGUUGUAGGAGUCUCAGUCCCGAGUCUCAGACAGUGUGGGCACAGCGUUCGCACUGCUGCUUUAGCCUCUUUCCUUCUGACGGAGACUGGGAAGAGGAGGUCGGUGUGCCUCUCCCUGGCUGUGUGUCUCCCCGGCUGGGUAGGCUGCAGUGCAGUGGGGUCUUGGCCAGUCCCCUCUUUGCCAGGGUCCCUAACUCUGCUACUGAGUUCCAGGCAGCCUGUAGUUCUUUGACAGGGGUUGGAAGCGGAAGGCUGGCCCUAAGGGCAUCCUUGGAUGGGAAUACACCACACCCCACUCUGUGCCAACCCAUCCUGAAUAUGGCAGUUGUAUUGCCUUCGGCAGAUCUAAGCCAACGGGGCUGGCAUGGGUGGAAGAAGUCAUGGUUAUGGCCAACUCUGGGGACUGCUCAGAGCAGUAGGGGGUGCCUGCUUAGUUUUCUGUUCAGUGAAUCCUGGAUAUUUGGGCCUGCAGGGAAAUACUAACAUUUUUCCCUACCAGCUUUGCCACCCUCUCUCUGCGUUAUAUCGGUUCACAGAGUCCAGUAUAUAACUCCAAAAUGUAUUUUUCUAUAUAUCCUCAUUGAUGAUGCAGUUAUUAUAAUUUUUCUAACUUUGGCAUAUGAUAAUCUCCAUCUUCUAAGUAAUGUUGCUGAUUUUUCCCUUGUGUGUGUUCAUGGCCAUACAGCUCUCCAUGGGACUUUAGUAGAGGAUAAAUCAGGCACCAAUAAAUUGACAAGUUAACUCCAAAUUCCCAAUUCAAUUAAUACCUGGUUGAGUUAUGUCCUUAAAUAUUUCCAUUUGUUUUAUUCUGUCUUCAGAUGCGAGGUGGUUCUAUGAUUUUUUAUUAAUACUGUUUACAUGGCAAGUAAUAGAAACUGAUCCUGGCUUGAGAAAAGGAGAAUUUAUUGGAAAGAUAAUGGAAUAUCUCGCAGAACCCAGGAACGAGCUCAAUAACCAAGGCUUGAGGAAAGGGAACAGGGAAGCACUGAGGUCCUGGCAGCAGGGGUCCAAGGCAGCAUGGGGACAGUAACAUCUGCUGUGUAAGUCUCCAGAUUCUCAGCCCCAAAUUACACAUUCCUGGCACGAAAUCUGAUGGCCCGGUUUGACUGUGGCAUGGGGGUAGGGUCACUUAACACAGACAUGACUGUUGGACAGUGUUCAGAGCAGGCAUACUUGCAGCAGGUCAGCCUCUUUAAGUGGUGUCUACUCCAGUUUCCUAUGUGGGCUAUCUUGGUUACAUCUUUUGUAUCAAAACUAUCGAAAUAUGAAAUGUUCUCUCAGCAUUUCCCUUGGCCAUCUCCCACAUUUGUGCAUCCAGGACAUCUGUACUCUAAGGAAAGGCAUGUGAUAGCUAAAAAGAGAAAAAUUGGAUUAUUUUAGAAGGAGUGUUCUUAUGAGAUGGUAAGGAAAUUAUUAACCCAAGCCUUCUCUACCAAGAUUAUUCCGACUUGGGGAAGGGCAUAACGUUAGAAGGGAAACUGCGAGAAUGAAAAUACCAUUAGAUCUCAGCAAGAGUGAGCGGGCAUGCUGCUCCCCAGACCAAGCCCCAGGCGGGUGACAGAAACCCCGCCUGAUUCGUGGAGCUGAGACACUCAGGGGUUCCUGGAGAGACAGUGAGACCCGCAGAAGAAAGGAAUAAUUCCCAAGCACGUAGGAGCAGCGUGGAGUGGCAGACAGCCACCGAACCCAAGAGUUCAUGAAGAUGGGGAAGACAAACAACCCCACACACAAUCAACUGCCUGUAUCACGGGUCAGAUGGGGGGAUGGACACGCCAGUAGAUGCCUGGAAUGCAGCAGAAGGUGCACAGAUGAAUGAAUGAAUGAGUGACACUGUGGCAGUUUGGUAAACUCCCUAGAAUUUAGACACAAUCUUGGUGAAAUUUUAGGUUAAAAUUCUUCCAUCCUGAGUUGGAAAAGGAAAACAAAGAAAAUUUACAUUUCUGCAAUGACUGAGGUUGUAAACUGAUAUAUCUGCAACAUUUACUUACUAAAACUGAACUGCAUGCAAUUGUAACUUUUUCUGUGCUGGGGGACUUUUUAUAUGGGCUUGGGUUCAUUUAUUUCUUGAAAGUUUGAGAGCCUCCACCAUCAAUCCUAGCUGUACACAUACAAAUGUAGCUUUUGUGGAAAUGGACAAAAUUUUGACAUUUUUGACAGUGGUUGUUUUUUGAAGAAAUGAAAUUAUUUACUCUUCCCUCUUGCUGUGUCAGUAUCUUAAAAUACAUUUCCCUUUGUUAAAAAGUGAUGUAUCCAUUUGUAUACGAUUUAAAAAAUUCAAGUCAAGCAGAGGGAAGACAAAUUAUCCAUAAUUUCACUACUCAGAGAAAAAAUACUGUUAAGAAAUUGGUGUCUAUUUAUCUGUAAUUCUUAAUAUAUAAUACUUUACAUUUUAAUCAACUUUAUUUUCCAUUUCUUUUAAACAUUUAAAUUCAUUAUAAUUGUGUAGUAUUUACUUAUAAUUUUAUUUUAAAAUAUUUUAUAAUGUUAUUCUUUUUAUUAUUUUAGUACUUGCUCAUUGUAAAGGAUUUGGGAAACAUACUAAAAUAUAAAUAAUACAAUAAAAACCAUCACACAACUUUUAACAUUUUGGUGUUUUUUCGUUUCAAAUCUUUGUGUGUAUACACAAGCAUACAUAGGCAAAUUUCAAUUUUAUGUAUAUUGUUUUAUAAUUUAUAAAUUUAAAAAUUCUCAUUUAUUUUCUUUUUCACUGAAUAAAUUUGUCUCAAAUUUAUCUAUUUCAGUUAUCUUCUAAAAUAUUUUUUUCUUGGUGCAUCCACUGUGGAAACCAGUAUUGGAGGUUUCUCAAAAAACUAAAAAUAAAACUACCAUAUGACCCUGCAAUUCCACUCCUGGGUAUAAAUCUGAAAAAAGCAAAAACGCUAAUUCAGAAAGAUACAUGCACCUCAGUGUUCAUAGCAGUGUUAUUUACAAGAGCCAAGACAUGGAAACAACCUAAGUGUCCAUCAACAGAUGAAUAGAUAAAGAAGAUGUGGUAUAAAUAUGUGUGUGUGUGUGUGUGUGUGUAUAUAUAUAUAUAUAUAUAUAUAUAUAUAUACACACACACACACACACACACACACACACAAAAUGGAAUAUUAUUCAGCCGUAAAAAAAAAUCUGCCAUUUGCAGCAACAUGGGUGGACUUGGAGGGCAUUAUGUGUAGUGAAAUAAGUCAGACAGAGAAAGACAAGUACUGUAUGAUCUCACUUAUAUGUGGAACCUAAAAAAUACAACAAACUAGUGAAUAUAAUAAAAAAGAAGCAAACUCACAGAUACAGGGGACAAACUAGUGGUUACCAGCAGGGGGAGGAGGGACACUAUAUGGGUGGAGGAGGGGGAGGUACAAACUAUUGGGUAUAAGACAGGCCCAAGGAUGUGUUGUACGACAUGGGGAAUAUAGCCAAUAUUUUGUAAUGACAGUAAAUGGAACGUAACCUUUAAAAAUGUAUAAAAAUAAAUUAAUAAAAUAACAUAGCUUUUUCUUAAUUAUAUAUUUUUAAUUAUUUCUAGUUUAGGUUUAUUAUGCCUGUUCUCUUAAGAGAACUUCCUUGUUGCCACUCUUUUCUUGAUUGUUUUAUUUAUUUUCUCCUCUUUAUUUGGAAUUAAGAUUAUGGUAAAAUUUAGGCUGAAGUGUGUGAUUUUCUUGUUAUUUUCUAAAUGUAUAUUCUUGUGUUUUUAUUUUUCCUCCUUAACUCAAUAGUUAUUUGAGAGAUUGAUUUAAAAAAUAGAUAUACAAAUUGAUUUAUUUUAAAAAUAGCAUUUUGUGUGAUUGCCACACAUUAGAGAAAAAUAUGAAAAACACAAUUAACUGAAGAUAACUUUAUUCCACGAUUCAGAGAUAACAAUUAUUAACCUUUAGUUGUAUAUCCUUUUUAUUUUUAUUCUAAGCAUAGGCAGAAUACAUUAAACUAAGGUAAUAUUGUAAAUACUGCUUUAUGAAAUACCUUCUUCCAGUUCAUAAUAAACAUAAAUAUUUUACCACAGUGACCUGUAGACUUGCACUGUAUUAAUACAAGAUAAUUUAUGUAACUGACACCAUUUUAUUGAAUGUUUGGAGUAUUUACUCCCUUUUUUCCUGUACAUAAAAUCAUUAUGGAUUUCUCUGAUUAUUUGUCUAGGAAAAUUCUGUAAGUUGAAUUAUUGGAUCAAUUUUUAAGGGCAUUCUAAAGCUUUUGAUUCAUAUUAGCAACUAGUCCUACAAAAAAGUCACACAAAAUUACACUCUCAUUAGUGAGAGACAAGAAUGCUUUUUCCCUCUAUUCAUGUCCUCAAUUAAGAUUAUUUAAACAGCUGUCCAUUUUAUUUUUCAUUUUAUAAUGUUUCUACUACCAUUUUUUUGUACUUUGAUACCUAUUUGUAUUUCUUUUUUAAUGAAUAACUUCACAUUUUUAUUCAUUAAAACUUGUUGGUUCCAUUUCUUUUUGUUUAUUUAUUAUAGCUUUUAUAAGUUUGUUAUCCCUUUGUGGACCAUAUGUUUUUUCUAGUUUGUCAUUUAAAUUUGUUUUUGCUUGCUUUUCCUAUUUUAAAUGUUUAACUAUUAAUUUCCAAUUUUGUUGCAUUUUGAUCAUUGCAUAAAAUACUAUACAAGUGAUAAUUGCUAAUAUUGUUGUACACAUGAGUAUGACUGUCUCCUAGUUUUAAUACAUCUUAUCUUUGUGUGGUUAUCUCCCCAUUGCCUUGAGAAAGGCAUUCUCUGCUUACUUCUCUGGUAAUAUUCUUCUCUGUUCCUUGUUACUUCUAUAAGAGCCCUCACAGUUAAUUUUCUGACUCUUGCUCUCUUACCUGUUCUCAAGUAAAUAGUUUGAUGACAGUUUGAUGUUUCUUCAUGCAAUAUUCAGUCUCUUACAGAAUAAUAAGACAUUGUAGUGACCUAGAAUGUCAUGGUCUUUCCAGUUGAGGACAUUGUAAUUUUAAUUUUAAUUUUGUGAGGAUGUGUUAUUUGGUGUCUGAUACUCAUAUAAUAGUCAUAUAUGUAAUAUAUGUAUAUACCAUAUAUACCAGAAUGAGUAUGCCAGAAUAUAAACUAUGACUGUCCCAACAAGUAAAAUCAAAGUGGUGUUUAUAGAAUGAAUACCCCAGGAGGACCUGGGAUUCCAGUUUCCUGAUAGAUGAGCGAUGAAGGGAUUCUUGGUGCGAUACUUUUAUUUACAAGUAAAUGGUUGGCAAUCAAUAAAUCAAAGGGAAAAAUAAGUAUUUUUCAAUAACCUCAAAUUGUUGCAAUUCCAUUCCAUUUUCUUCUGCAAUUGUUCUCUCUCCUGAGUAAUCUACUUCUUUUUCUCUCUCUCUUUACCACCUCAUCCCAAUCUACAGAAUGGUAUCUCCAAUCCUAGAAUGAAAAACAAACAAAGAAAACAUAGCAAAUAACAAAGAAGUUCACCUCCCUUGAUUCCAUAUCACCUUCUGCUCCAUUUUCUGCAAUACUUCAAAGCAAAUGCGUUGCUCGCAUCCAAGAGAACUGGCGUUUCCACUUCCUCCUCUGCCCAGGUCCCCACGGUAGCAGCUCUUGCCAGGUCACCAGCACACCCGACUUGGUCCUGUCCUGUUUCCCUGCUGGCUCAGCAGCAGUGCAGACAGAUGACAUUGCCUCCUCCUCAAAACGCCCUCUCUCCUGGUCUCCUCCUAGCCCUCUGGCUGCUCCCUCUCAGACUCCUUUUUUGGAUCCUUUUCUCCUUGGUUUGAAAGCACUGAGGGACUCUAGACUCUGGACCUAAUAUCGGGCUCACUCUCUUCUCUGUCCACGUAAUCUCCCUUCAAGGCUUGAUCCUGUCCUGUGGACUAAAGGCUUUUUUUAUGUCUGACUUCUUUUACUCAGCAAACUACUUCUGAAAUUCAUCCAUGGAAUUGCAUGUAUUGAUAGGGUUUUCUUUUUCAUUUUUAUUGCUGAUAUUUAUUUAUUUAUCCACCUAUUGGUGGACAUUUGGGUUGUGUUCAGUUUGGGGCUAUUAUAAAUAAAGUUACCAUGAACAUUCAAGUUAAG